Cygnus olor (mute swan) is the source of this 1328-nucleotide long non-coding RNA. RefSeq lists it as uncharacterized. NCBI's taxonomy places the organism in Eukaryota, Metazoa, Chordata, Aves, Anseriformes, Anatidae. The record is from RefSeq and is a predicted model, not a curated record. The transcript is spliced from 3 exons.
GUGGGUGUUAUGCUGAGAAAGGCCUAUGCAAGGAAAGAUAGGAGAGAGACAAUCAGCAGUGACACUCCAAUGUUUGAAAGAGAGUAUACCUACAUGAUUAAUACUACUGCUGUGCAAACUCUUCACACAACCACACUAGUGAUAAUUCCUGGUGUCUACCUGCAGUCGCUAAAAUAUUUUUACUUUUCCCAAGGUAGCUGCAAUGGAAGCAGAGGGAUUUGCAAACAGCAGUGUGUGAGAUGAGGAGGCUGUGCUGACAGCUACGGGUGAGGUUCUGCUCUUUCUGUGUGAUCCGAAGGUGCUUAUCUGUCAGGGUGGCCAUGGAUACUGUCAACUGCAAGGUGUGAAACUUCUACAGUCUAUAGCUGCAGAGAAGCACUGGACAUCGUAUGCCAGAUGAAUACUGAGCCACCAUAAUUCGGAGCAUGACCAGUGUCAUUAUUAUAUCCUGAAGUGUGAAGGGGAGAAGAAAAAGUAGAUCCUCUGUGUAAACUUAAUGAAAUAGCUUUUGGUUAGGGGCAUGCUAGGAUGACGUGUAGGAACUAGCUUUUUCCAAAUCAAGUUGUCAAGGAUGAGCAAGCGGGGACUACAUGGUGCUGUCGCUUAACCUGAUAUAACAUGACUGCAGUACUGACAAAUUCACUGUUGUAUGGACUUUCUCUUGGUUUUGGCUGCUUAGUUUUCACUGUACAGCCUACUCAUUUGUACAAAGGCAUUUUGCUUCAGGCAUAAAUCUGAAGCUUUGUGACUCUGUUCAGAUCUUGUAGUAACACUGGUUGUUCUUUAAAAGAUCAUCUGGAUUAUUUAGGAUCAUUUGAGGAAAAAGUUCUGUCACUUCCAGAAGACAUGGCUCACAGGAAAUCAAUUCAGGCAGUCAUUUAGAUCUUCGCAUAUUUACGGAAGACAACUAAACUGAGAUGCUCCUAAACUUUCUGUGGCAGAACUGUUGCUUCUCUCAGUGCUGUUUGCUAGGUGUCAGAUAUCAGAUAUUUUUUUAACGUUUGUUCGCAGACCAUGAGAGAGGUUUUACAUUGUUUCUUGAUGCUGUGAUGUGGUUAGUUGAUUCCUGAGAUAUAAAAUGUUAUGCAUUAGUUUGUUCUCUUUUAGUAAAUGUUGGUGUAUCAAUUCAUGUGAUAACAUAGCUGAAUGUAAAUCACUAAUCCUUUGUUGAUCAUCUAGUUCAAAUAAUCUGAACUUCAUCUCUUUUUGUCAUGAGGGUUAGAGUCCUGGAAUUUUAAAUACUAAGUGGUAUAGUUUAAAAAAUUGAGCACAUCAGCUGCCACUAAAAUAACCUGACUUCGUAUGUUAAAGCUUGGAAAAAAAAAAAA